GAUGAACGCUGGCGGCGUGCCUAAUACAUGCAAGUCGAGCGAACGGACGAGAAGCUUGCUUCUCUGAUGUUAGCGGCGGACGGGUGAGUAACACGUGGAUAACCUACCUAUAAUACUGGGAUAACUUCGGGAAACCGGAGCUAAUACCGGAUGAUAUUUUGAACCGCAUGGUUCAAAAGUGAAAUACGGUCUUGCUGUCUCUUAUAGAUGGAUCCGCGCUGCAUUAGCUAGUUGGUAAGGUAACGGCUUACCAAGGCAACGAUGCAUAGCCGACGUGAGAGAGUGAUAGGCGACACGGGAAGUGAGACACGGACAAGAGUACUACGGGAGGCAGCAGUAGGGAAUCGGCCGCAAUGGGGGGAAGCCUGACGGAGCAACGCGGCGUGAGAGAUGAAGGUCUUCGGAGCGUAAAACUGGGUUAUGAGGGAAGAACAGAUGUGGAAGGAACUGAGGACAGCGUGACGGUAACGAAUCAGAAAGCAACGGCUAACUACGUG
This 497-nucleotide ribosomal RNA is filed under the name uncultured bacterium. RNAcentral's name for it is "partial 16S ribosomal RNA". It matches the Rfam family "Bacterial small subunit ribosomal RNA", at positions 28 to 507 of the family's 1533-position model. The record is from RNAcentral.